CACUGUGCCAGAGUAUCUCAGGUGGAAACGCCGUGUUGUUGUCAAAGGGCAUGUCGCCAGUGUAUGUAUGCAGAAGCUUUAUGGCUUGAUGUACAUGACUGACUUCACACUAAGGUUUUUCAACGGGAAAACUUUACUGAAAAGGACAUUGUUGAUGGACUGGUGAUGGACAACAGUAAAGUUUUCACCACAAAUAAGAUGAGGACAAUGGAGAAGAUGUUGAAAAACCCUGAUGUUCAUACACCCCAUCCUCACAGAAAAC
Neoarius graeffei (lesser salmon catfish) is the source of this 262-nucleotide long non-coding RNA. RefSeq lists it as uncharacterized. Lineage: Eukaryota; Metazoa; Chordata; Actinopteri; Siluriformes; Ariidae. The record is from RefSeq and is a predicted model, not a curated record. The transcript has 3 exons.